UGUAUGUUGGUGUAAAGUGCACAAGGAUUUUUGGUGUCUUAGGAAAUGGUGUGAUUCCAUUGUAUAUAA
This 69-nucleotide transfer RNA is filed under the name Ibacus alticrenatus. RNAcentral describes it as "tRNA-Gln". Lineage: Eukaryota; Metazoa; Arthropoda; Malacostraca; Decapoda; Scyllaridae. The record is from RNAcentral.